AGUUUGAUCAUGGCUCAGAUUGAACGCUGGCGGCAUGCCUUACACAUGAAAGUCGAACGGCAGCGGGCCUUCGGGUGCCGGCGAGUGGCGAACGGGUGAGUAAUGCAUCGGAACGUGCCAUUGAGUGGGGAUAACGUAGCGAAAGUUACGCUAAUACCGCAUAUUCUGUGAGCAGGAAAGCAGGGGACCGCAAGGCCUUGCGCUCUUUGAGCGGCCGAUGUCAGAUUAGCUAGUUGGUGAGGUAAAGGCUUACCAAGGCGACGAUCUGUAGCGGGUCUGAGAGGAUGAUCCGCCACACUGGAACUGAGACACGGUCCAGACUCCUACGGGAGGCAGCAGUGGGGAAUUUUGGACAAUGGGCGCAAGCCUGAUCCAGCCAUGCCGCGUGAGUGAAGAAGGCCUUCGGGUUGUAAAGCUCUUUCGGCCGGGAAGAAAUCGCAUGGGUUAAUACCCUGUGUGGAUGACGGUACCGGAAUAAGAAGCACCGGCUAACUACGUG
This 499-nucleotide ribosomal RNA is filed under the name uncultured bacterium. Its description in RNAcentral is "bacterial SSU rRNA". It matches the Rfam family "Bacterial small subunit ribosomal RNA", at positions 10 to 507 of the family's 1533-position model. The record is from RNAcentral.